CCUGCAAGCGCCACACCCAGCCUGCCGCAGCACCGCGCCCCCUCAACGAUCCCGGACCCCCCGAAUGACCGAGCACCCGAGCUGCCGUAAGGAGCACGAAGGUCAGCCGCUCCGGAAUUCAUCUCUUCAUAGAGCGGACUCCCCCAAGAGCUCAGUACAGUCCUUUUGACCACAGAUGAAUCCUGAGUGCUCUGCUCGGUCCCCAGCAAACGCCACAAAUCCCAUCAACAGCUCACGCCCUCUCUGUCAUCGCCCAGAGGAGAUGGAAGGUGAAGAAAACAACCAAAAUAAGGACAGGUAUACGAAAGAGGAAGAAUUGGGUGAGUCAGAAGGACCUAGGAAAAAUAGAAAAAAAGGAGAGAAGAGGAAAGAAAAAUAGAACUCAAGAUGAAAAACAGGAAAGUAGGAAAGCUGGCAGAAGCAGAGAUCAAGUCAGAUUUGCCAGAUAAAAUAGGAUAAGCUGAAUAUGAUUUUUUUUUAAACUGCCAUCAGGAAGGAAAUAAAAUGUGAGAUAGGAGAA
Molecule: long non-coding RNA, 520 nt
Organism: Ornithorhynchus anatinus (platypus)
Lineage: Eukaryota; Metazoa; Chordata; Mammalia; Monotremata; Ornithorhynchidae
Exons: 2
Source: RefSeq, a predicted model, not a curated record